AAAUUGAAGAGUUUGAUCAUGGCUCAGAUUGAACGCUGGCGGCAGGCCUAACACAUGCAAGUCGAACGGUAACAGGAAACAGCUUGCUGUUUCGCUGACGAGUGGCGGACGGGUGAGUAAUGUCUGGGAAACUGCCCGAUGGAGGGGGAUAACUACUGGAAACGGUAGCUAAUACCGCAUAACGUCGCAAGACCAAAGAGGGGGACCUUCGGGCCUCUUGCUAUCGGAUGUGCCCAGAUGGGAUUAGCUAGUAGGUGGGGUAACGGCUCACCUAGGCGACGAUCCCUAGCUGGUCUGAGAGGAUGACCAGCCACACUGGAACUGAGACACGGUCCAGACUCCUACGGGAGGCAGC
RNAcentral lists this ribosomal RNA (355 nucleotides) under Shigella flexneri. RNAcentral's name for it is "bacterial SSU rRNA". It matches the Rfam family "Bacterial small subunit ribosomal RNA", at positions 1 to 352 of the family's 1533-position model. The record is from RNAcentral. Lineage: Bacteria; Pseudomonadati; Pseudomonadota; Gammaproteobacteria; Enterobacterales; Enterobacteriaceae.